AGUGAACGCUGGCGGUAGGCCUAACACAUGCAAGUCGAACGGCAGCACAGUAAGAGCUUGCUCUUACGGGUGGCGAGUGGCGGACGGGUGAGGCAUACAUCGGAAUCUACUUUUUCGUGGGGGAUAACGUAGGGAAACUUACGCUAAUACCGAAUACGACCUACGGGUGAAAGCAGGGGAUCUUCAGACCUUUCGCGUUAGAUAGAGCCGAUGUCGGAUUAGCUAGUUGGCGGGGUAAAGGCCCACCAAGGCGACGAUCCGUAGCUGGUCUGAGAGGAUGAUCAGCCACACUGGAACUGAGACACGGUCCAGACUCCUACGGGAGGCAGCAGUGGGGAAUAUUGGACAAUGGGCGCAAGCCUGAUCCAGCCAUACCGCGUGGGUGAAGAAGGCCUUCGGGUUGUAAAGCCCUUUUGUUGGGAAAGAAAAGCAGCAGGUUAAUACCCCGCUGUUCUGACGGUACCCAAAGAAUAAGCACCGGCUAACUUCGUG
Molecule: ribosomal RNA, 492 nt
Filed under: uncultured bacterium
Lineage: Bacteria
Description: partial 16S ribosomal RNA
Rfam family: Bacterial small subunit ribosomal RNA
Source: RNAcentral